CCUUUAUGAAAUAAUAAAAAUAUAUACAUAUUUUGUAAUUAUUAGCCAUAUUAACAUGGCUGUCGAGAGAUUUCGUUCACCGGCCGGACGACCCGAUAGUCGGGAUCGAAACUUUAUAGCAUGGAGGCAGUAGAGGUCUCCUCAAGAGAUGGAAUCGCUCUCCCUCUUACUAUUGUUGCAACUGACCCCUGCAAGAGCGAGGCUUCGGACGACAACCCACCCCAAGGGCUACUUUUGCAUAUUGAGGGGGUUAAAGGAUGAUCUGCAUACUAUGGUAGUCUAUUAUUACUGUUUAUGCGAUUGGAGGCAAACGAGCAGACAGGUCGCCUGAUGGUAAGCGAUCACCGCCGCCCAUGGACACCACCAGCCAAAAAUACCCUAAACUUACUUAACUUUAAGGUUACUUACGUAGGUAAACAGGAACACAGGUACCUACUCUACUACAGAAAAAAAAAAUGAAUAAACAAAUCAUAAUUAUCAUAAUAAAUUAGGUCUAUGCUAUUCCUACAAUUUAAGAUAAUUG
Molecule: long non-coding RNA, 523 nt
Organism: Leguminivora glycinivorella
Lineage: Eukaryota; Metazoa; Arthropoda; Insecta; Lepidoptera; Tortricidae
Exons: 3
Source: RefSeq, a predicted model, not a curated record